GAUGAACGCUGGCGGCGUGCCUAAUACAUGCAAGUCGAGCGAACAGACGAGGAGCUUGCUCCUCUGACGUUAGCGGCGGACGGGUGAGUAACACGUGGAUAACCUACCUAUAAGACUGGGAUAACUUCGGGAAACCGGAGCUAAUACCGGAUAAUAUAUUGAACCGCAUGGUUCAAUAGUGAAAGACGGUUUUGCUGUCACUUAUAGAUGGAUCCGCGCCGCAUUAGCUAGUUGGUAAGGUAACGGCUUACCAAGGCAACGAUGCGUAGCCGACCUGAGAGGGGGAUCGGCCACACUGGAACUGAGACACGGUCCAGACUCCUACGGGAGGCAGCAGUGGGGAAUCUUCCGCAAUGGGCGAAAGCCUGACUGAGCAACGCCGCGUGAGUGAUGAAGGUCUUCGGAUCGUAAAACUCUGUUAUUAGGGAAGAACAAAUGUGUAAGUAACUAUGCACGUCUUGACGGUACCUAAUCAGAAAGCCACGGCUAACUACGUG
RNAcentral lists this ribosomal RNA (497 nucleotides) under uncultured bacterium. Its description in RNAcentral is "partial 16S ribosomal RNA". It matches the Rfam family "Bacterial small subunit ribosomal RNA", at positions 28 to 507 of the family's 1533-position model. The record is from RNAcentral.